AUUCCUAUAAAGAGAGCUGUUAGUCGUGAUUACUGACACUGGAUUCUUAAAAUUACAAUAAUGUCUCUGAGGUAGGUGAUGGGUUCCUUGGAGAGAGAUAAGCGGAAGGAUAUUGUGGACAAAUAUUUAUUUAAAAAAAAAAGACGAAAAGCGCAAGAAGAAGUAAACAAAUGAAGAAUUAAGAAGUGCCGCCUUAAAGGGACAGUGUGAUGGCCUGUUGUGCAUCAGCCUCAGACUAGGCCUCGGGAGAUGAGAGGGCGGGUUCGAGUCCUGAGUGACGUCGGUCCUCAGGCUACUACUCUGGGGACCCUUAAGUGAGAGCAGCCACCUGGGCCAAGAGCUGUCUCCGUACCAGAGGUGAAAGCAAAAUGGUCAACCGCGACCGAGCACUCGGCCUGAGGCCCGAUCGAAAGCGCGUGCCCAGCCAUGAUUAAGUGAGAUUCUACACAUGGAAGUACUUGACCAUCGCAGCCAUGUGAGAUAGGGCAGGAUUUAGCCUCCAUUUUAGAUAAAGGAAAGCUCUAAGACGUGGAGAAAUAAAGUGACUUAUCCAAGGUCGCCUGACAACUAA
Long non-coding RNA from Grammomys surdaster, 571 nucleotides. RefSeq lists it as uncharacterized. The transcript has 2 exons. Lineage: Eukaryota; Metazoa; Chordata; Mammalia; Rodentia; Muridae. The record is from RefSeq and is a predicted model, not a curated record.